This 897-nucleotide ribosomal RNA is filed under the name uncultured bacterium. RNAcentral describes it as "bacterial SSU rRNA". It matches the Rfam family "Bacterial small subunit ribosomal RNA", at positions 28 to 916 of the family's 1533-position model. The record is from RNAcentral.
AUUGAACGCUGGCGGCAGGCUUAACACAUGCAAGUCGAGCGGUAACAGGGGAAGCUUGCUUCCCGCUGACGAGCGGCGGACGGGUGAGUAAUGCUUAGGAAUCUGCCCAGUAGUGGGGGAUAGCCCGGGGAAACCCGGAUUAAUACCGCAUACGUCCUACGGGAGAAAGCAGGGGAUCUUCGGACCUUGCGCUAUUGGAUGAGCCUAAGUCGGAUUAGCUAGUUGGUGGGGUAAAGGCCUACCAAGGCGACGAUCCGUAGCUGGUCUGAGAGGAUGAUCAGCCACAUCGGGACUGAGACACGGCCCGAACUCCUACGGGAGGCAGCAGUGGGAAAUAUUGGACAAUGGGGGCAACCCUGAUCCAGCCAUGCCGCGUGUGUGAAGAAGGCUUUCGGGUUGUAAAGCACUUUCAGUAGGGAGGAAAACCUUAUGGCUAAUACCCAUGAGGCUUGACGUUACCUACAGAAGAAGCACCGGCUAACUCCGUGCCAGCAGCCGCGGUAAUACGGAGGGUGCAAGCGUUAAUCGGAAUUACUGGGCGUAAAGCGCGCGUAGGUGGUUUGGUAAGCGAGAUGUGAAAGCCCCGGGCUUAACCUGGGAACGGCAUUUCGAACUGUCAGACUAGAGUGUGGUAGAGGGUAGUGGAAUUUCCUGUGUAGCGGUGAAAUGCGUAGAUAUAGGAAGGAACACCAGUGGCGAAGGCGGCUACCUGGACCAACACUGACACUGAGGUGCGAAAGCGUGGGGAGCAAACAGGAUUAGAUACUCUGGUAGUCCACGCCGUAAACGAUGUCAACUAGCCGUUGGGACUCUUGAAGUCUUAGUGGCGCAGCUAACGCACUAAGUUGACCGCCUGGGGAGUACGGCCGCAAGGUUAAAACUCAAAUGAAUUGACGG